AGAGUUUGAUCAUGGCUCAGGACGAACGCUGGCGGCGUGCUUAACACAUGCAAGUCGCGUGCGCAGUCCGUAGCAAUACGGAUGGGCGCACGGCGCACGGGUGCGUAACACGUGGGCAAUCUGCCCUCUGAUGGGGAAUAACCCGCCGAAAGGCGGGCUAAUUCCGCAUAAGAUUCCCGGGACUUCGGUUCUGGGAUUGAAAGCAGUAAUGCGUCGGAGGAGGAGCCCGCGCCCGAUUAGCUAGUUGGUGAGGUAACGGCCCACCAAGGCAAUGAUCGGUAGCUGGUCUGAGAGGAUGAUCAGCCACACUGGAACUGAGACACGGUCCAGACUCCUACGGGAGGCAGCAGUGGGGAAUCUUGCACAAUGGGCGAAAGCCUGAUGCAGCGACGCCGCGUGGGGGAUGAAGCAUUUCGGUGUGUAAACCCCUUUCGACUGGGAAGAAUACCUCGCAAGAGGGGUGACGGUACCAGUAGAAGAAGCCCCGGCUAACUACGUGCCAGCAGCCGCGGUAAGACGUAGGGGGCCAGCGUUGUUCGGAAUUACUGGGUGUAAAGGGUUCGUAGGCGGUGCGGCAAGUUGGGAGUGAAAUCUCUGGGCUUAACCCAGAGGCUGCUUCCAAAACUGCUGUGCUCGAGUGUGGGAGAGGCGCGUGGAAUUGCAGGUGUAGCGGUGAAAUGCGUAGAUAUCUGCAGGAACACCCGUGGCGAAAGCGGCGCGCUGGACCACUACUGACGCUGAGGAACGAAAGCUAGGGGAGCAAACAGGAUUAGAUACCCCAGUAGUCC
This 788-nucleotide ribosomal RNA is filed under the name uncultured bacterium. RNAcentral's name for it is "bacterial SSU rRNA". It matches the Rfam family "Bacterial small subunit ribosomal RNA", at positions 8 to 796 of the family's 1533-position model. The record is from RNAcentral.